GUUGUUUUGGCAGAUUAGUGCGAAAGAUUUAGAAUCUUUUUAAGUAAGGUUUCUUUACAGACAAUA
This 66-nucleotide transfer RNA is filed under the name Sipalinus gigas. RNAcentral describes it as "tRNA-Leu". The record is from RNAcentral. Lineage: Eukaryota; Metazoa; Arthropoda; Insecta; Coleoptera; Curculionidae.